RNAcentral lists this transfer RNA (62 nucleotides) under Rhinostomus barbirostris (bearded weevil). RNAcentral's name for it is "tRNA-His". Lineage: Eukaryota; Metazoa; Arthropoda; Insecta; Coleoptera; Curculionidae. The record is from RNAcentral.
GCUCAAAUAGUUUAUUUAAAAUUUUAAUUUGUGGUAUUAAAGAUGUGAUUUCACUUUGGGCA